UACCCCUCAAAGAGUUGCAAAGUGGAAACAAUACAUCUUCAUUAGUUUAACAAAUAUUUGAACACAUACUCUGGGGUAGGGCCUGUGCUACAUGCUCGCUGUGAAAACACGAACUUGGCCUCUGCUCUCAGGAAUGUGUUCUUGUUGGAGAAGACUGGUAAAUGAGGGUCAUGUAGUUAUAAACUUCGAUAAGUGCCAGGAUGGACAAGUAAAAGGGGCAAUGAGGAAGUCUAGUAGAGAAGUUUACCCUAGUGUGGGGGUAAGGAAAGAGUUUUCUGAUCUGAGGAAGUGAUAUUUAAGCUAAAACUGGAUGGAUGGGUUUCAAGUAGCCAGAGACUGAGUCCUGGAAAGAAUGUUAUGACAGAGAAAGGUGAGCCAUGCAGCUCAAGCACAGGAGAGAGGGCAAGGUGCCACGGAGGCAGGUGGCCUGUCGGAAACUGAGGACUACUUGCAUCAAAUUAGAAAGAAUGUGAUAUUCCUGCCUGACCCAGAAUCUUCUAGACACAUGGAUACCUUUGAACAAAUUACCUUGUUUGCAUACCUUUGUUUCCUUUCCCUUUGGUUUCUUUAAUUUCAUACCCAAGGACUUUUGUAUCACUUAGUUCCAAGGCUUUUUCUUGAUCAGCAGAUUUAAAAUUCACAUAACCAAAUCUCCUACAGAGAUGUAGAAGAAAAGGGAAAAAGCACACACAGGUAAGAUGAAAAGCAUAUGCCUCUGGUUAGCUAAUCACG
RNAcentral lists this long non-coding RNA (732 nucleotides) under Homo sapiens (human). Its description in RNAcentral is "HSALNT0048641". The record is from RNAcentral. Lineage: Eukaryota; Metazoa; Chordata; Mammalia; Primates; Hominidae.